This 379-nucleotide ribosomal RNA is filed under the name uncultured bacterium. RNAcentral describes it as "bacterial SSU rRNA". It matches the Rfam family "Bacterial small subunit ribosomal RNA", at positions 790 to 1167 of the family's 1533-position model. The record is from RNAcentral.
GUAGUCCACGCCCUAAACGAUGUCGACUAGUUGUUGUGUCUUAAUAGACUUAGUAACGAAGCUAACGCGGGAAGUCGACCGCCUGGGGAGUACGGUCGCAAGAUUAAAACUCAAAGGAAUUGACGGGGACCCGCACAAGCGGUGGAUGAUGUGGAUUAAUUCGAUGCAACGCGAAAAACCUUACCUACCCUUGACAUGGUUCGAAUUUUCCAGAGAUGGAAGAGUGCUCGCAAGAGAACGGACACACAGGUGCUGCAUGGCUGUCGUCAGCUCGUGUCGUGAGAUGUUGGGUUAAGUCCCGCAACGAGCGCAACCCUUAUCGGUAAUUGCCAUCGAGUCAAGUCGGGCACUUUACUGAGACUGCCGGUGACAAACUGGA